Molecule: ribosomal RNA, 343 nt
Filed under: Odontobdella blanchardi
Lineage: Eukaryota; Metazoa; Annelida; Clitellata; Hirudinida; Salifidae
Description: partial 12S ribosomal RNA
Source: RNAcentral
UUUUACUUUUAUUUAAGAUUGGAGAAUACGAGUAAUAACUUAAAAACCCAAGAUUUUGGCGGUGUCUUAUUCAAUCAGGGGGACCUGUAUUAUAACUCGACAGUCCACGUAUAAGCCCUACCCUCUCUUGAUAUCAGCAUGUGUACUGCCGUCCAAUAGACCCUUAAAGUAUUCUAUAAUAAUUUAUUCAAAUAUACGUCAGGUCAAAGUGCAGCUUACUGAGAAGGAAAAUAUGGGUCACAGUCUAUAGUAUAGUAAAUAUAAUUUAAUUGUUAAAUUAAUACUUUAGGACUUGAUAGUAACAUUACUAAAGAAGUAAUUUGAAAUUGAACCUAAGACAAGC